UACGUAGGGUGCAGGCGUUAAUCGGAAUUACUGGGCGUAAAGCGUGCGCAGGCGGUCUGCUAAGACAGGUGUGAAAUCCCCGGGCUUAACCUGGGAACUGCGCUUGUUACUGGCAGGCUGGAGUGUGGCAGAGGGGGGUGGAAUUCCACGUGUAGCAGUGAAAUGCGUAGAGAUGCGGAGGAACACCGAUGGCGAAGGCAGCCCCCUGGGCCAACACUGACGCUCAGGCACGAAAGCGUGGGGAGCAAACAGG
Molecule: ribosomal RNA, 253 nt
Filed under: uncultured bacterium
Lineage: Bacteria
Description: partial 16S ribosomal RNA
Rfam family: Bacterial small subunit ribosomal RNA
Source: RNAcentral